Molecule: ribosomal RNA, 301 nt
Filed under: uncultured bacterium
Lineage: Bacteria
Description: partial 16S ribosomal RNA
Rfam family: Bacterial small subunit ribosomal RNA
Source: RNAcentral
CAGUAGCCGCGGUAAUACGUAGGGUGCAAGCGUUAAUCGGAAUUACUGGGCGUAAAGCGUGCGCAGGCGGCUAUGCAAGACAGAUGUGAAAUCCCCGGGCUCAACCUGGGAACUGCAUUUGUGACUGCAUGGCUAGAGUACGGUAGAGGGGGAUGGAAUUCCGCGUGUAGCAGUGAAAUGCGUAGAUGUGCGGAGGAACACCGAUGGCGAAGGCAAUCCCCUGGACCUGUACUGACGCUCAUGCACGAAAGCGUGGGGAGCAAACAGGAUUAGAUACCCCAGUAGUCCCUGUCUCUUAUAC